CAAAGCUGCUCUGAAUUGCUCUUCCUUCAAAGCAGAAUGUGGUUCAAUAGGAAAAGUGCUACCAUAAGAAGUCUGUUAAAUAAUCCUAUAUGAACUUGGGUGUGCAAAGGAUAAAAGGCAAACUUUACAUGCUGGGCUGAAAUUUUCUAUGCUGUGGACCUUACCUCAACCCGGACCAUUUUUACUCCUAGAAUUCUCAUUCUGAAAUAAACUAUUUUGAAUAUCCAAAAAUAACUGUGCCAUGACUGAAAUGUUCUCUGGGAAGGUUUAAACUCUGAAGCUCUGGAAAGGCAGGAAAAGUAUCACCUGAAUUUUUACAGAGACCUGAAACCACACACAGAAACCCCACCACCAUGGGCAGUGAGGACUGCAGUACCUGCCUAGCCCCAUGAUGGCCAAUUCAACCCAGACAGGGACUUACAGCAAUAUGAGGAAAUGACUGAAAGCACCAUUCAGUGACUGCGAGCUGCCUGUGGUGAAACCCUUUCUCCAUGGUAAAUGCAAGGGGGCUUCUACCUGUUCCACUGUGAACCACAACUGCCUCAGCUCCCCACAUUUGCAGGAGGAUGAGACCACUCACGUGCACCUUCCCUGUCAGGAAGUGGAGACCUAUGAACCUGUGGUAAUUUAUUUGUGUGUUGAAGCCUGAAAGACUA
Molecule: long non-coding RNA, 656 nt
Organism: Pezoporus flaviventris
Lineage: Eukaryota; Metazoa; Chordata; Aves; Psittaciformes; Psittacidae
Exons: 4
Source: RefSeq, a predicted model, not a curated record